UCCCUCUGAGGCUUGUUUAUGGACUAAUAGGUGAGCACUAUUGCCUCAUGAAUAGGGACCUGGUGGGACCAGAGGGCAAGAUCCUCACCCUCCAAUACCUGCUUGUAAGAUGUCUACCAUCCUGUCACUAGACAAGCACUGUGCCACCACUAGAAAAUUGAAAUUUGCAAUUCAACCUUGGGAGUGAUAAAACGAUUAGAAACAAGUGAGCUGGAUCAAAAACACUGGGGCCUUGGAACAGAUUCUGUUAAGGAGCCAAGGGAUGCGAAGGAGAACAGAACUAGGUCAAAACAUCCAGCUUACAUAACACAGAAAGACAGGAUUAGGCCUCAGUUGAGCUACAAUCCUAGGAGGGGCUGAUGGCCUUGUUCUGUUCAUGUGAAGAAUCUCUCAUCCUCGAGUGGGGGCCUCCAGGUCUGGAAUCUGUAUUCAAUGAAGCUGAAGAGCUUCUUCAACUCAGGAAUUUGUGUAGUUAACAAAAUGAUUUAUCGAGUGUGACUGAACCCACUCUGUUAGGAGAACUAUUUUUAGCUGUGGCAUAAACUCACCAUCCACAUACCACAGAGGAUGUACAGUGGGUUCAAUAACAGUUUUCAGCCUUCCUCCUAAGGAUGUGGCACUGUGGUCCUGCUUCUCUCUGCAGAACUUCAAUUCUUCAGCUCCAGCAAUGGCAUUGGUAGCAUUUUGUCAGCAGGAGGAGUAUUUGAAACUCUUUUUGACCAGAAGAGUCACUUACUACUUGUGAUCUCUCUGAAAAUGGAUUGCCCAUCAAAAAGAAACAGGGAAGCCAGGACACAUCCUAUGCAGCUCCUCAGAGGCCAUAAGUCAAGCCUUUACUCUUUAAUCACUUCCCAUCCAACAUCACGAGGGCUCACCAGGUGUUCCACUGGCUCUGGAAUGCUGUUAUCCUAAAUAGACCCAAAGCCACAAAAUCUGGGUUUUAGGCAGGACAGUUGGAAACAUCUUGCUGUUGCCUGGAGCUUUUUCUCUUAGGCUCAGCUAACAGCUAAGAGGUGUUCCAGAGCUGACUCGUAUGGGUUCAUAAGGGCAGAUUGUUAAAUUUUCAGGAAUUUUGCAAGUCAGUUGUUCAAUUAUUGGUAGGUUAAAACUGACAUGGUGGGAAUAUUUACGCCAAGGAAAUAGGCAAACACUAAAAAUAAUGGUUUUCUCUCCCACUCACAGCUGGUUGUUAAUUGUUUACCAGUAUACUACUAUUAGUAAUGAUAAACUAUGCAGUCUACUUACUGGUUAAGCCCACAGGUUUUUAGAGCCAGGCUGAAUUGAACCAGAGUCCUAGCUUCACACUUACUAUAUUACUUAACAUUCGUUUCACCAAAUAAAAUUAAGCUUUAAAAAAGUA
This is a long non-coding RNA of Felis catus (domestic cat), 1360 nucleotides long. RefSeq lists it as uncharacterized. Lineage: Eukaryota; Metazoa; Chordata; Mammalia; Carnivora; Felidae. The transcript has 2 exons. The record is from RefSeq and is a predicted model, not a curated record.